GGGUUUGAUCCUGGCCCCGCUCGAACGCGUGUAGGUGGUCUGACACAUGCAUGUCGUAGAUGUUUCUAUUUGAAAACGUCUGGCGUCCGGGUGAGUGAUCACGGGCGAUCUGCACAUCUUUGGGAGUCAAUCUCUCGAGACUUCGCGAACUUCAAAAUCGCGAAGCUUCAGGCAAUGGUUCGCGUUUACGCGAACUCUGUAGAACGUUCGUUCUACAGGUCCGGGAUGGAGGACACCCGUGCGGAUUAGGUAGUUGGCUCGGUGACGGCGGGCCAAGCCCUGGAUCCGGAACUAUCCUCAGUGGGGGAAUGGUCACAGCGGGACUGAAACAUGGCCCGCCCGCUUUGGCGGCAGCAGUGAAGAAUCUUUGACAAUGGGCGAAAGCUUGAUCGAGCCUACCUAUGAGAGACAUCUCUCUAUACGGGAGAUUAAAGAAGGCCAACGCGUCGUAAAUCUCAUAAUUCAUGGUAAUCUACGGAUCUAUCCAUGGAUUCUGUCCCGGCCAAUUCUGUGCCAGCAGCCGCGGUAAGACAGGAGGGGCGAGCGUUGAGCGUUUGUACUGGGCCUAAAGCGCGGGUCGGUGGGUUCGAAAACCAACUUCGCGUCGUAAGAGAUUUACGUUCGCGUAAACGCGAACGACGCAGAAAGGCCCUCCGCGCUCGGAGGAGUUUCUAGAGUGAAAUUCGAACCUGGGGUCCAUGAAAGGUUGACAGAAUGACCCAAGGACCGGUAGAAUGGGAAGAUAUGGGUUGGAAUCUCGACGGCGAAGGCAGUCAUCUGACAUGGCACCGACACCCAGCCGCGGAAGCGUGGGGAUUCAAUGGGAUUAGAGACCCCAGUAGUCCACGCCGUCAACGAUGGAGGAGAGAGACACUCCGGUGUUUCUCAGCUAAAAGCGCGAUCCUCUCGCCUGGGGAGUAAGGUCGCAAGGCUGAAACUCAAAGGAAUAGCGUGUGAGACAGACCGGCGGUGGAACAUCGCGGUUUAAUUCGAAACAACACGCAAAACCUUACCACUUCUUGCAUGUAGU
RNAcentral lists this ribosomal RNA (1030 nucleotides) under Bracteacoccus aerius. RNAcentral's name for it is "SSU rRNA". It matches the Rfam family "Bacterial small subunit ribosomal RNA", at positions 9 to 991 of the family's 1533-position model. The record is from RNAcentral. Lineage: Eukaryota; Viridiplantae; Chlorophyta; Chlorophyceae; Sphaeropleales; Bracteacoccaceae.